This 106-nucleotide small nucleolar RNA is filed under the name Dichanthelium oligosanthes. RNAcentral describes it as "Small nucleolar RNA Z118/Z121/Z120". It matches the Rfam family "Small nucleolar RNA Z118/Z121/Z120". Rfam says of the family: This family consists of several snoRNA Z118, Z121 and Z120 sequences which are members of the C/D class of snoRNA which contain the C (UGAUGA) and D (CUGA) box motifs. Lineage: Eukaryota; Viridiplantae; Streptophyta; Magnoliopsida; Poales; Poaceae. The record is from Rfam by way of RNAcentral.
AAUUUGCUGUGAUGAUUCCUCAAGGACGGUAUCCGAUUGAGGUUGUGCUGUAAAAUGCCUUCCUCGUAUGAUUACAUCCAUACUGACAAGGAAUCCUGAGUAUAAU